Molecule: ribosomal RNA, 253 nt
Filed under: uncultured bacterium
Lineage: Bacteria
Description: partial 16S ribosomal RNA
Rfam family: Bacterial small subunit ribosomal RNA
Source: RNAcentral
UACGGAGGGGGCUAGCGCUGUUCGGAAUUACUGGGCGUAAAGCGCACGUAGGCGGCUUUGUAAGUUAGAGGUGAAAGCCCGGAGCUCAACUCCGGAAUUGCCUUUAAGACUGCAUCGCUAGAAUUGUGGAGAGGUGAGUGGAAUUCCGAGUGUAGAGGUGAAAUUCGUAGAUAUUCGGAAGAACACCAGUGGCGAAGGCGACUCACUGGACACAUAUUGACGCUGAGGUGCGAAAGCGUGGGGAGCAAACAGG